UACGUAGGGUGCGAGCGUUGUCCGGAAUUAUUGGGCGUAAAGGGCUCGUAGGCGGUUUGUCGCGUCGGGAGUGAAAACUCAGGGCUUAACCCUGAGCCUGCUUCCGAUACGGGCAGACUAGAGGUAUGCAGGGGAGAACGGAAUUCCUGGUGUAGCGGUGAAAUGCGCAGAUAUCAGGAGGAACACCUGCGGCGAAGGCGGGUUGCUGGGCUGAUACUGACGCUGAGGCGCGAAAGCCAGGGGAGCGAACGGG
This 253-nucleotide ribosomal RNA is filed under the name uncultured bacterium. Its description in RNAcentral is "partial 16S ribosomal RNA". It matches the Rfam family "Bacterial small subunit ribosomal RNA", at positions 524 to 776 of the family's 1533-position model. The record is from RNAcentral.